Molecule: long non-coding RNA, 363 nt
Filed under: Capsicum annuum
Lineage: Eukaryota; Viridiplantae; Streptophyta; Magnoliopsida; Solanales; Solanaceae
Description: long non-coding RNA (CANN_LNC013885)
Source: RNAcentral
AACGGUUAUUGGAUUUAAACAUUUUUAAUGUAAAACUUUAUUGUCUUUAUUUUCAUUACUCUCCUAACUUUUAAUUAUCAUAACUAUAAAAUAAUUAAUAGUCAUAUUCAGGAAUAAGAAGUCAAAAUCUUUCAAUUCAUCAUAUUGGCUGUGGAAAAAUGGAGAUUUGGAUUUGAAUUUUUUUUUUCUCUCAAGUUGUAGUUUCAAAUCCGGACUUCUGAAGUCCGGGUUUCACCUAUAAAAUGGGGUGUUGCCAACCUCAGCAAAGGGGGGAAGAAAAAGGGGGCUUUAGAAAAAUCGAGAAGGAGGUCGAAAAUUGAAAGAAAAAGUGAAAACUAGUGUUGAAAAGAGUGAAAAUAGAGC